UACGGGGGGGGCAAGCGUUGUUCGGAAUUACUGGGCGUAAAGGGUUCGUAGGUGGCCAACUAAGUCAGACGUGAAAUCCCUCGGCUUAACCGGGGAACUGCGUCUGAUACUGGAUGGCUUGAGUUUGGGAGAGGGAUGCGGAAUUCCAGGUGUAGCGGUGAAAUUCGUAGAUAUCAUGAGGAAUACCAGAGGCGAAGGCGGCUACCUGGACAAUUGCUGACGCUCAGGCACGAAAGCGUGGGGAGCAAAAGGG
Molecule: ribosomal RNA, 253 nt
Filed under: uncultured bacterium
Lineage: Bacteria
Description: partial 16S ribosomal RNA
Rfam family: Bacterial small subunit ribosomal RNA
Source: RNAcentral